UACGUAGGGUCCGAGCGUUGUCCGGAAUUAUUGGGCGUAAAGGGCUCGUAGGCGGUCCGUCACGUCGGGAGUGAAAACUCGGAGCUCAACUCCGAGCCUGCUUCCGAUACGGGCAGACUAGAGGUAGGCAGGGGAGAGCGGAACUCCUGGUGUAGCGGUGGAAUGCGCAGAUAUCAGGAAGAACACCGGUGGCGAAGGCGGCUCUCUGGGCCUUACCUGACGCUGAGGAGCGAAAGCCAGGGGAGCGAAUGGG
RNAcentral lists this ribosomal RNA (253 nucleotides) under uncultured bacterium. Its description in RNAcentral is "partial 16S ribosomal RNA". It matches the Rfam family "Bacterial small subunit ribosomal RNA", at positions 524 to 776 of the family's 1533-position model. The record is from RNAcentral.